CGGCCGCGCCUUGUAAGCGCUAAGCCGGGAGGAGGGCGCAGGCAGGGCGCACAGCUCUGAGCGCGACCCUACCCGGCUCGGGCCCGCAGCAACCCCGACUGUCCGAGAGCCUCUCCCCAAGCAAGGCUCUGCGCCGCCCUCUGAGCCCACCUCCUGGCCACAACGCUGCCUGCGCUUCUCCAGCCCAGGCCGGAAGCCCUAUGCUGCCUCCCGAAGCCGGACUUUCUGGAAGCCCAUCUUCGUAUGCUCACCAGCCCACCCUCCUACGCUGGUCAGAGUGAGAUUGCUAACCUCAAGACCCCAUUCAAUGCCAGCUUUCAACUACUGCUGAAGACCAAUGUAGGUCCUGGAAUAGAAGAACUGCAGAGUAUCCCUAAGGUCUCCUCUUCAUCUGGCAUGUGUGUUCACAGAAGGUACAGUGUGCGAGAACACACUUAGGAAAUUUUAGGAACGCUAACCACAGUACUGGAGGAAUAAAGAUGUGUCGAAGGAAUGGAUGGAAUGCAUGAACACAUACACCUUGUUGUCCAGAUGCAGACAAAAGCUACCAUGUCCGCUUGGAGUGACGCCCAGACACGCACAGAGAUGUACAGGAAGCCAAGGAGAGUGGGAUCCACCAGAGUACAGUACAAGUACAGAGUACAGUGCAAGAUGCCCAGUGGCCCUGGAGAAAAACCUUCGUUGACUCUUCUGUAUGGAAAGUUUCUGAAGAAAGGGCCAAGGAAUGAUCUGCCCCAGAGGCUGCCUUUAGGCUCCCAUACCUGCUCUGUUUGGAGACACCCAGAAGAGGCCAGUACAGCAAAGACUCUUUUUGGUUUGGUUAUUUCUGUUGCUUGUUGUCUUUUUUUCAUCCUUUGCCUGGGAAAUUGUGCUCUGGAAUAGGGCUUGAGUAGACAGCACAGGCCUCCAGUAGAUAACAAGAGAUUCUCAAUCUCCAAUGAGGACAUUCCGUUCUAAGGAAGCUUCCAGAUAGGGGAAAGCCCUGUUUUGUCCCCCUUUUCUCCUCUGAGAUCUGAAAA
RNAcentral lists this unclassified non-coding RNA (1019 nucleotides) under Mus musculus (house mouse). RNAcentral's name for it is "Six3 antisense RNA". The record is from RNAcentral. Lineage: Eukaryota; Metazoa; Chordata; Mammalia; Rodentia; Muridae.